Molecule: long non-coding RNA, 2405 nt
Organism: Helianthus annuus (common sunflower)
Lineage: Eukaryota; Viridiplantae; Streptophyta; Magnoliopsida; Asterales; Asteraceae
Exons: 5
Source: RefSeq, a predicted model, not a curated record
UUCUAAAAGAUAUCAUUUAAACAUUCUCCUAUACAUUAAUAAAACAACGUUUUGAACAGUAAAAAAGGGUACUUUUGGUGUUUCACCAACAACACGCAUCAUCCUCACUUCUGAUUGCACAGAGACAGAAGGAGAAAGAAGUGAGAUAAGGAAGACGACGAUGAUAGCGAUUUUGGUUACAAAGCGGCGAUGAUGACGGAGAUGGCUGCGAAAAGGUUCAGUCGUUAGCGGCGGCGGCGGUUAGGGUUCCGCCAUGAAACAUGGUAUCGCCAUUGUUCUCUUUAUCAGAAUCGCUAUCGGGUGGGCUAAGUUCCAGGGUUCCGGCCGCCGUUCAAUUGAAGGUAAUGACGAUUAAGAAGGCAAUGAUGGAGGUUCUGGUUAUAGGCAUGUCGGUGACUUUAGAAACGAACUCUGUGACUCAACUAGGGUUCCAGCAAGAUUACGGGGCGCCUUUUUACACUAAAAGGGUCUUCUUCAGUUUAUUAAGACACCUAACUGGUCAGAUGUGAAUUUUACCACCCAUUCAGCUGAUGUUGUUUGUGGCUCCUCGAGCAUCUUUUGGUUUUAAGACCAAAGAAAGAACUGCAGCCGCUUCGUCUAAUGUCGGACCUCCAAAAACUGAUCAUCUAAAAAGAAAAGUUGCCCCAUAUCAACUUCCAGAUUCAAAGGCGAGGAGCCUGCCACAAAGCCCAUUACCAGUCAUGAGAAAAAUCGCUACCCUAGGCUUUCAGACUCCAAGGCCUCAAAGUCAAGUGAUUUACAGUCGAGUCAGAGUGGGGUGAUGCAUGACCCAAAGUGGUGCAGGAACUUCCUCGAGCGUAUGGUGGACACUGCUGAGAAAAAACAUUGCAAGGCAAUGACCCACGUCCAGUUAAAGGUGAUGGCUUUAAACGUGGUCUGUAGCAAGACGAUGGUGGUUAAUAGUGGUAACGGCCGCCUCCAGAGGCGAGGCAAGUGCCUGAUGCCAUGGUGACAACUACGUUGUUUUUCACGCCGACGGUGACGACGGAGUUGUUUUUCACUCCGGUGGUGGGAAGGUCGUAGAAACAAGGGGUUAUGGUUCCGUAAAUCCAACUAAUCUUAACCACCAGUUGUCAUUCCGCUUGACGUCCUAGACUGUAUCCAGGGUUUCAGUGGUGGCUGUGUUAACGGAAGAAAUACGUUUGUUGCCGCCAUUGGCUAUAAAGAAGGUUCAAUCUAUCUUUCUUCUUUGAUAACCUGGCUAUAAAGAAGCUAUAAUGGCUUGCUGACACACGAAACUGGGCUAAAAGAUUCAAGAAGAAUGGAGGAUUCUCGAAAAAGACUUACCUGAUAUGAUAUUUGUUACGGACUUACGGUUUAUGAAUCGAGGAUGGGUCUUUAAAAAGCGUCAUAAUGGGAGCUGAAGGAACGCGGUAUUAUGAUUGUCUUUUUUCCUUUGAUGUGUGCUUCCCUAAAACCUAUCCUCAUGAUCCAUCUGUACGUUUUAUUAUUUCCUUUUUCCACUAUAUCCUAUGGUUUGAUUUUAUUAUGUAAUAAAGGGUGUUCGGGUCCCUCCGGACCUGUACUGAACCGCAACCAAAAAAUUAGGACUAAUGGAACCAAGAACCAGAGCAAUCCAAAAUGGUUUGGUAUUUAGUUCUGCAAUUUCAGUUUAAAGCUGAUUUUGCCCUAACUAGAUAAUAAACUGAAUAAAAAUUGGUUUAAAAUGUUAUAUGUUUCGAAAACCGUAAAUAUAACAUGUUCAGUUUCAAGUUUGAAAAUAAUAGUUGUAGAAUAUAUCAAUUCAGUUCUGGUUUACAGAAGAAGAAAUUUAUGAAGGGCGAGGUGGCAUUGAAAAGGUUAAAUAUAUAUUGAUUAGAAACUAUAUUAAUAUUAAAUAGAAGGAAAAUGUGUUAAGUUGAGUGUCAAAAUAAAUGUUAAAGAUUGAAUGAUGGGUUGUCGAUUCAGCGGUAGGUUUAUGUAUAUUAUACGGAUUGAAGUUUUGAUACUUGCUUAUUGAGGUUUUCGUAUGCUUGAGCCCUAAAUGACAAAUUACAUGUUUUAAGUUUGUUGAAUAUUCUGCCUCUUUUUGGUUUGCAGAUUUCUUAGUAUCAGGCACUAACCUUAAAACAAUGGCAGGUAAGCAAAAAAAAACAACUUUUCCAUUUUCUUUUAGUUUGCAGAUUAUGUAUUAAAAUGUGGACUCAAUAUUUUGAAAAGUGAUAUGGACAGUUGUAGUAUUUUGUUUAUGCCAUGUCAGAUCUGGAGCUAUAUUUCUAUGCAUGCUGCUUACUCCGUUAUGGUUCUUAUUCCGUACUUUCGGUACUUCUUUUGUGGUUAAACAUUUUGUUAUUGAGUUUCGAUCACAACCACCCAAACGAUUUCCACUAUUAACAAUAUUCUUACCAUAAUGCGUUUCAAUUUAAUAUGUUUGUAUGAUUCUA